GCUAAAAGCUGUUAAUAUUUAUCAGUUAAUACCGCGGUUGCGAGUACUGUUAUAGAUAUGUUUGAGAUAUAUCGCACGCUGCUGUCAACGGAGAAGUGAACUUUGCGAAUGCACACAGUGGAAUGGAACGCAUAAAAUUCUGCCGUUAAAGAAAAGGUGAACUACGCAUGCGUGGGUUUCGACCAAGAUAUUAUUUUACGAAUAUUUUUCCGUGAGAAGUAACUACAUCGAAUUUCCUUCAACAUUAUAUUGUCCACUUACUUCUUCUUCUAGGGAGUAGGUGACAAAUUAUGAGUGUAUCGAUCGCAUUAUGUGCUAUCCUAUAUCUCUGUCUAUUUUAUUAAACAAUUUGCGUGGCAAUUGCUUUACUUUAGUAAAGAAAACUGAUACAAUUAUAUAUAUAUAAUGUUAUAUGAUUAUAUAAUUCGCAAGUGCUUCUAUGCGAGAUGAGGUUCCAUGAACCGUCACAAAAUAUUGUGCAGUCAAACGUAACUCGUUAACUUAAGGAUCGCUUUGUAAAAUGAGUACCUCUGUCCAAGAACGGUAUUUCAGCUUGAAUAGAAUUAUAUUACUCGCUGUUGGCUUAUGGCCUUAUCAACAAUCAAAGAUUGCUCGAUUUCAGACAGCAUUAUUGCUUAGUAUUUUGAUAAGCAUCAUCACAUUAAUGCUUUCAAGACUUUGUUUUGUAGAAUACUCCUUUGAAUUUACUAUUAAUUUGCUUUGUGCGUCAACGUAUUUUACUUUUUUUCUGAUUAAAUAUCUCUCCUUUUGGAUUAACAUAGAAACUAUAAGAUAUUUAUUGGAUAACUUUCAAUACAUCUACAAGAGGCUAAAGGAUUCAAAAGAAAUUGCUAUCUAUAACAAAUAUGGCAAUAUUGCAAAACGUAUAACAGUCGGCUUCAUAAUAGUUGCAAUAUGCAAUCAAGCUUGUGUUACUGCAGUACAAUGUGCGCCAUACAUUUUUGAUGUGAUUAUGCACAAAAAUGAGACCUACGCGCGCCGCUUCAUAGUAGCUUUGACUACAUACUUCGCCAUACAAGAAAAAUAUUUCUAUUUAUUUCUUCUGCAUCUAAACACAGUUAUGGCUGUAGGAUCCCUUGCAUUAUUAGCGAUAGGAACAACGGUGUUAUCAUGUUUUAAACAUAUCUGUGGAUUGUUCAGAAUUGCUAGCUACCGAUUUGAACAAGCAAUAACGGCUACUACAUUACAAAGUAUUACCUUAAAAAAUAAAACCAUGAUUUACAAGGAGUUUAUCUAUGCCGUGGACAUUCAUCGUAAAGCUAUACAGUUUGCCAAAUUUUUUGUGGGCGGCAUGGAACGAUCACUUUUCAUUGUUACAAUGAUUACUGUACUUUGUAUGAGUUUGAAUCUUUAUGGAAUAUUUCAAAUUGAAUCACCUAUGCAAGAAAUAGAAAAGACAGUGGGACAUUUUCAACUUAUCAUUUUUCUUCUUAUAUAUAUGUUUGUAGCUAACUAUGCUGGACAGGAAAUGACGGAUUAUAAUAAUCAUAUAUUUCUUACGGUAUACAAUGCUCCAUGGUACUUAGCACCAUUGCAGAUACAAAAGUUGACCUUGUUUUUAUUACAAAGAAGUAACAAAGCUUUCACAUUGAGUAUCGGUGGAUUAUUUACAUUAUCCAUAGAGUGCUUUGCUUCGCUAGUAAGUGCAUCAGUAUCUUACUUCACGCUUAUGCUAUCUUUGUAAUAAUAACGAAUAUAUAACAUCCAAUAAUACCGUAUAUUAGAAUAGGGUAAAUAGAUAUAAAACUAGAUGAAAAUGCCGAUAUUUUCUUCCCAUUGACCUUAAAAACUUAGGAAAAUGGUACAAUUAGAUAAGUUGCAAAACCAAAUCUGAAGUGUUUCUGAUAUUUAAACGUAUAAAAGUUAUCAUUCGAAUAAAAUGUGCGGAUAAGAAGGAAUGAUAUGAUAAUGGGAAAUAUUACGUGCGUGAAAUAUUAUAGUAAUUUAAAUAUUAAGUAUGUUAAUAAAUUAUUUGGAGAAGUAAAUUAAAUAUUAAAUAUUCAGUAAUCGUGCCUGUGAGGUAUUGUAAAUCUAGAAGGAAAUAUAUGGUAUUAAAACAA
This 2081-nucleotide unclassified non-coding RNA is filed under the name Ooceraea biroi (clonal raider ant). Its description in RNAcentral is "uncharacterized LOC105283333, transcript variant X1". The record is from RNAcentral. Lineage: Eukaryota; Metazoa; Arthropoda; Insecta; Hymenoptera; Formicidae.